RNAcentral lists this ribosomal RNA (1321 nucleotides) under uncultured bacterium. Its description in RNAcentral is "partial 16S ribosomal RNA". It matches the Rfam family "Bacterial small subunit ribosomal RNA", at positions 28 to 1381 of the family's 1533-position model. The record is from RNAcentral.
GAUGAACGCUGGCGGCGUGCCUAACACAUGCAAGUCGAGCGAACCCUUCGGGGUGAGCGGCGGACGGGUGAGUAACGCGUGGGUAACCUGCCCUGUACACACGGAUAACAUACCGAAAGGUAUGCUAAUACGGGAUAACAUAUGAAAGUCGCAUGGCUUUUGUAUCAAAGCUCCGGCGGUACAGGAUGGACCCGCGUCUGAUUAGCUAGUUGGUAAGGUAACGGCUUACCAAGGCAACGAUCAGUAGCCGACCUGAGAGGGUGAUCGGCCACAUUGGAACUGAGACACGGUCCAAACUCCUACGGGAGGCAGCAGUGGGGAAUAUUGCACAAUGGGCGAAAGCCUGAUGCAGCAACGCCGCGUGAGCGAUGAAGGCCUUCGGGUCGUAAAGCUCUGUCCUCAAGGAAGAUAAUGACGGUACUUGAGGAGGAAGCCCCGGCUAACUACGUGCCAGCAGCCGCGGUAAUACGUAGGGGGCUAGCGUUAUCCGGAAUUACUGGGCGUAAAGGGUGCGUAGGCGGUCUUUCAAGCCAGAAGUGAAAGGCUACGGCUCAACCGUAGUAAGCUUUUGGAACUGUAGGACUUGAGUGCAGGAGAGGAGAGUGGAAUUCCUAGUGUAGCGGUGAAAUGCGUAGAUAUUAGGAGGAACACCAGUAGCGAAGGCGGCUCUCUGGACUGUAACUGACGCUGAGGCACGAAAGCGUGGGAGCAAACAGGAUUAGAUACCCUGGUAGUCCACGCCGUAAACGAUGAGUACUAGGUGUCGGGGGUUACCCCCCUCGGUGCCGCAGCUAACGCAUUAAGUACUCCGCCUGGGAAGUACGCUCGCAAGAGUGAAACUCAAAGGAAUUGACGGGGACCCGCACAAGUAGCGGAGCAUGUGGUUUAAUUCGAAGCAACGCGAAGAACCUUACCUAAGCUUGACAUCCCAUUGACCUCUCCCUAAUCGGAGAUUUCCCUUCGGGGACAGUGGUGACAGGUGGUGCAUGGUUGUCGUCAGCUCGUGUCGUGAGAUGUUGGGUUAAGUCCCGCAACGAGCGCAACCCUUGCCUUUAGUUGCCAGCAUUAAGUUGGGCACUCUAGAGGGACUGCCGAGGAUAACUCGGAGGAAGGUGGGGAUGACGUCAAAUCAUCAUGCCCCUUAUGCUUAGGGCUACACACGUGCUACAAUGGGUGGUACAGAGGGUUGCCAAGCCGUGAGGUGGAGCUAAUCCCUUAAAGCCAUUCUCAGUUCGGAUUGUAGGCUGAAACUCGCCUACAUGAAGCUGGAGUUACUAGUAAUCGCAGAUCAGAAUGCUGCGGUGAAUGCGUUCCCGGGUCU